Molecule: ribosomal RNA, 296 nt
Filed under: Veillonella parvula
Lineage: Bacteria; Bacillati; Bacillota; Negativicutes; Veillonellales; Veillonellaceae
Description: partial 16S ribosomal RNA
Rfam family: Bacterial small subunit ribosomal RNA
Source: RNAcentral
AGGAAGGCGGGGAUGACGUCAAAUCAUCAUGCCCCUUAUGACCUGGGCUACACACGUACUACAAUGGGAGUUAAUAGACGGAAGCGAGAUCGCGAGAUGGAGCAAACCCGAGAAACACUCUCUCAGUUCGGAUCGUAGGCUGCAACUCGCCUACGUGAAGUCGGAAUCGCUAGUAAUCGCAGGUCAGCAUACUGCGGUGAAUACGUUCCCGGGCCUUGUACACACCGCCCGUCACACCACGAAAGUCGGAAGUGCCCAAAGCCGGUGGGGUAACCUUCGGGAGCCAGCCGUCUAAG